UUGSUAGAGUUGGAAGAGUUGCGAACGGGUGAGUAACGCGUAGGUAACCUGCCUAUUAGUGGGGGAUAACUAUUGGAAACGAUAGCUAAUACCGCAUAAUASUGUUUAACACAUGUUAGAGACUUAAAAGAUGSAAUUGCAUCACUAGUAGAUGGACCUGCGUUGUAUUASCUAGUUGGUGGGGUAACGGCCUACCAAGGCGACGAUACAUAGCCGACCUGAGAGGGUGAUCGGCCACACUGSGACUGASACACGGCCCAGACUCCYACGGGAGGCMGCAGUAGGGAAUCUUCGGCAAUGGGGGCAACCCUGACCGAGCAACGCCGCGUGAGUGAAGAASGUUUUCGGAUCGUAAAGCUCUGUUGUAASAGAAGAACGUGUGUGAGAGUGGAAAGUUCACACAGUGACGGUAACYUMCCAGAAAGGGACGGCUAACUACGUGCCAGCAGCCGCGGUAAUACSUAKGUCCCGAGCGU
RNAcentral lists this ribosomal RNA (476 nucleotides) under Streptococcus macedonicus. RNAcentral describes it as "partial 16S ribosomal RNA". Lineage: Bacteria; Bacillati; Bacillota; Bacilli; Lactobacillales; Streptococcaceae. The record is from RNAcentral.